Long non-coding RNA from Acinonyx jubatus (cheetah), 1838 nucleotides. RefSeq lists it as uncharacterized. NCBI's taxonomy places the organism in Eukaryota, Metazoa, Chordata, Mammalia, Carnivora, Felidae. The record is from RefSeq and is a predicted model, not a curated record. The transcript is spliced from 2 exons.
CAUGGCCUUUGAUACAAUAGCUAACUAUUGUGAUGUCACAAGACUCAACUUUUGUCAUUUUUGGUGGGGGUUGGGGUACAGAAUGUGACAAAGGGCUAGAACAGAAUAAAGUUAUAGAACUGGAAUUUGCUUUUUCAUGCUAAUUUCCCUGGUAAUGAAGGGCAGUGACUCAGAAAAGGAAAGGCAAGCCACUGGCAGGCAGCAAGGCUGUACAUAGACUGUCCAUAUCAAGGGAGAGGGGUAGGGGUUGGGGGCAAAGGCAGAAAGAAGACAAAACAAAGUUUUCACUUUUAGGGUUAGCCAGCCAGAUAUGAAGAUGUUCUGAGUCUGGCCAAGUCCAGGACCUUCUCUUUCCAUCGGCCAUUGCUUGGGCCCAGAGAAAACACAGAAAAAAAGAAACGCAGGAAAGGCUCCAGGCUGGAGUGUUCCCUGGAACUUAAUGUUUGGGAUACUGUAUUGAGUUCUGGACUCCACACUGUCAAAUGGACAGACUCAGUUUGGACCGCAUCCUGAGGACAGCAACCGGGAUGGAGGGGGCACUCAGAGGCAUGUGAUGGGAGAAAUGACUAAAGGAAUGGAGAAUGUUUACCCUGGAGAAGGCAAGACUGGGGAUGGAGGAAGAGGAUAAUUGCCUUGAGAAUUCCGAAAGGCUCUCAUGUGAAAAAGGGAUUAUAUGUGUUUUCUACGGCCCCCAAAGAGACCUCAGACAUAAGAAGAUCCAGAACGGAGAAAAUGAGGAAGAAUUUUUUAGUCUUAAAUUCCAAUUAAAGACUUUAAGUUCUUUUUAAUUACCAAUGUUCUCAAUUACAAACUAUGCUCUUGAAGACAAGGACUAUCUUGUUCACCGUAGUAUAUCCCAGAACUCAGGGUAAAUAGCACACAGUAGGUGCUUAUUAAUAGUUGUCAAAUAGAUGAAUUAAUGAAGCAAUAGCAAUGGUCUGAAGUUGUUGGUGUUCAUAGGGACUCACUCCAGAAAGUAUUCACUUCCAGAAAGUAUUUUUUGAAUCCCUACUACAUGCCAUUCACUUAAUUAAGAUGCUAUGGACACAGCAGUGAAUAAGGUAGAUAAACUUAGUCUAUCUCCCCUCUCGCCCUGCUUUGUAGUUUAGCACAGAUGGCAUGUAAGGUCCCUUCCAUAUUCAGAUUCCUUGGUUUCAGAAUUGACUAAAGAAUUUGAAACUGAGAGGAAAGAAGACCCCAAAGGCCACAGAUGAACCCUACCUACCACUUCUACUGCUACUUAAAAAGCCUAGAAAUCUAGACUAAGCUAAGGCUGCCUUUUCAGCUGCGGAGGGGCCUCCCACUGAGAGACAGCAGGGUGCUCGACCAGAUCAGACCAGAGCAAGCCACCAGGCUGAACAUUUAUUAAAGCCCCCGUUUCACCACCACCUGGUAAAGUAGGCUUCUACGUGAACCCAAGCUCCCUCAAGCCAGCAAUAGAUCUUUCCGAAUGGAGAUCAACACAGCUCAACAGACAUGCUAAUGCUCAGCACAAAGACAGACUCAAAGCACCCUGCUCUCCUGAGUCCUUGCAGCACCAUGUUUCACACUUGGACCUCAGUAUGAAAAUUAAUAAAAAGAAACUUCAUUUAAAAUGGAGUCAGGAGGCCAGAAGUGGGAGCUCUCACAAUUGCAGGCCCAAAAGUAAGUCCACACUACUUCAGCUACUUUACUAGACCAGCAGGAAGAAGAAAGGUUUUUCUCUUCUCCCAGCAACAGCCCAGCCAAUGAGAGGUCACAAUUCAGCCAAUGAAAAACCACUAUACUCCAAUGGACUUUUUGUUUAUAACAGCCCCUCCCAAUUUCCCCUUUUCCUCAAUAAAAGAGUGUUCCUCUCC